Molecule: long non-coding RNA, 470 nt
Organism: Salvia splendens (bonfire salvia)
Lineage: Eukaryota; Viridiplantae; Streptophyta; Magnoliopsida; Lamiales; Lamiaceae
Exons: 2
Source: RefSeq, a predicted model, not a curated record
AAUAUUAAAUCUUUAGCCAUGAAAAUACACAUAGUUUCCUUUCAAUUAACAGAAAUUGCCAAUUGUAGAGUACUUGCAGUAACGCAACGCAAGAAAAAGAGAUGAAUCGAAAAUUCGGCGGAGGGAAGCAGCCGACGGGAACUCCGUCGCUGGCAUGGUCGUCCGUCGUCGUAGUCGCGUCGCUACUCGCCGGCGCUUCCAUUGUGCACAACAUCUACAAGCCGAAUCUGAAACUCCCUCCAAUCGCAGACGUCGAUGAGCAUAAGCAAGAACAAGGGCAGAAGCUAUAAACCAUGCUUUCAAGAUUUUUUUAUUGAGCUUCAGAAUAAUAUUUCAAGUUGGAGAUUGGCUCAAAUGCUAAUGAAAUUUUGUUGAAGAUUUUAUUAGAUUUCUAUAUCAUUGAACAAUCUUGAAGAAACACUACUUAUUUAUUUUGGGCAUUAAACAGAAAUUAUUUUGCCAUUGGAUUA